AGGCAGGCAGCCCUUUAACACGCAGUCAUGUUGUGCUUGUGGUCCUAACCGAGCGUUUUGGGAGGAAUUCGCGCUAAAUUCACACCUGAAGAAGGACACUGAAAUGGCGGAGGCGUUUCGGCUGGAUCUUGACGAUGUGCAAAUGGCGGAGGAUUAUUUUAGCGGCAAGUUGAACGACAUUCCCGCUAUUUUUUUCGGUGGUGCUUUGUUUAUAGGGUUCCAGAGCGGAGGGCUGCCAGUGCGCGGAUGAUCGUCCUGCUGAGACGGUACAGUGCCAAUAAUGAAGCAGUCUUUGGCGGCCGCCUGUGAAGCACCACCUCUUUGUCCCAAGGAGGAGGUGCGUGAGGUGUAGGAGCGGCGCCAUUUCAGUGCUUUCCAAGAGAGAUUCACGAGGUAAUCUUCGAACUCAAUGUACAAGACCGAAGAUGCGCCACUCCUCGUCUUGUGUUCCCUGUCUUCUGCACCUCGCUUCCUCGCCGCCAUCCAUGUCCUGCCCUUAAACUCCUCGCUCCUUGGCUUCGUCUUGUAUGAAAUUUUUGGAAAGCUACAACAUCGCGUCAUGUCUGCAUCUUGUUGCUUAGGUCCCAAGAGCCCUACAUAGGACGGUGCGCCGAGCCGUGACUGCACCCCUCAGCCCCUCAGCUCUGCAGCCCCGCAGCCCUGUAGCCCCACCACCAGCCGAACCGACUCUGCGCGGGAGCCUCUCUCAAAGCGACCAUUUUUAUCUUUCCCUGCGAGAGAGCCAGAUCCUGGGAAAUGAAACUCUAAUCAUUGUAUAAUUGAGGCUGUGUAAUUAGGUUUAGGCUGGCCGUGAUAAUGUAUGUCCGAGCCGCUGCCGACCGCCCGCCCGCCCGCCCUCCCCUCCCGUCCACCCUCCUCCUCGCCUUGUGUUUCCUGGAGAGCAACGAUUUAUUUUUUCCUUCUAGUCUGUGUAUGCAUUUUUGUUUCAGAAUUUUUCAGGAAUAUGUAAUGAAGUACAAACUUGUGGAACACCAAUAAAA
Portunus trituberculatus (swimming crab) is the source of this 1001-nucleotide long non-coding RNA. RefSeq lists it as uncharacterized. NCBI's taxonomy places the organism in Eukaryota, Metazoa, Arthropoda, Malacostraca, Decapoda, Portunidae. The record is from RefSeq and is a predicted model, not a curated record. The transcript is spliced from 6 exons.